RNAcentral lists this long non-coding RNA (736 nucleotides) under Sus scrofa (pig). RNAcentral describes it as "lncRNA (ENSSSCG00070011793.1)". The record is from RNAcentral. Lineage: Eukaryota; Metazoa; Chordata; Mammalia; Artiodactyla; Suidae.
GAAGGUAUCUCAAGGUUUCACCCGACAUGCUUCUUUCUGUGAGAACUGCCUCUGUCUCACGGGCUGGGGUGGCAUCCGAACAAUUUCCAAAGGGCGAGUGGAGUUGAUUUUUCACCCUGUACUUUAUUGGGAAGUUUUGGUUGACUUGGGGAGCUGGUGUGAACAGGAACCAGAGGCACUCCGGAGGUUGCCUGGAUUGGGGAGGGGUGGGUGAGUGCACUUGCGCGCGCGUGCGUUUGUGUGUGUGUGUGUGUGUGUGUGCGGUGUAGGGAGGCGGGGGGCGGGGGUGAGGGCCUGGGGCGGGGGCGGGGCGCGGCUCCGUGUUAAGCAGCACCGUGGCGGUUCCACGCUGAGUGCAGCGUGCUCGGCUCUCUCGUUGCAGGGUGUCAGGCAGAGUGGAAGGAGAGGAGGAGAAGGGAAGUCGGGGACGUCGGUCAUGUCUAGGCGCUGGUGUUCUGGGGUGUCAGGCAGAGUGGAAGGAGAGGAGGAGAAGGGAAGUCGGGGACGUCGGUCAUGUCUAGGCGCUGGUGUUCUGGGUGAGUGAGUGCCCUUUGUUCUCUUCCUUCUCCUCUUCCAAAAGGGUUCAUUUCAUCACAGGAAAAGGUCAGUGGUUCUGGUGGUUCAGCAAGCCUCAAGAAGGGGAGACUCCCAAGGUAGGUCCGUGGCACGGGGCCACCGGCGUACCGUGCCGGAGUUUUCCGGCUUGAUAGCAGAGGCUCUCGGGCCAGGUCCCGCU